GAGAGAGAGAGAGCGAGAGCGAGACGCGGAGCUACCUUGUUUCAAAGGAUCAUUUUUGCAACCCACGACCAUGCAAUUAUCUGGAGCUACGGGGAAAAGUUGCUGGAAAGACCCACCUGAAGUGACGACGUCAUUAUGCAAGUACUACUUGGAAAUGUCUUCAUAAAAGAAUUUCUUCCACAACUAACAUAGACCAUCUAGGACAUUUUGAUAUGGACAGACUCUCACACUGAGAAACUAAUUCAAGCAACUACCUCUUCACUGAAGGAAAAGAGCUAAAAAUAUUUAAGAAUGGAUCCUUUCCUGAGACCUGGAGACAAGAAUUGCUAGCAAAUUGUGGAUUUCAGCUAGAGAGGAGAAUUUGAUCUACAUAAC
Alligator sinensis (Chinese alligator) is the source of this 375-nucleotide long non-coding RNA. RefSeq lists it as uncharacterized. NCBI's taxonomy places the organism in Eukaryota, Metazoa, Chordata, Crocodylia, Alligatoridae. The transcript has 4 exons. The record is from RefSeq and is a predicted model, not a curated record.